GACUGUACAAAGGUAGCAUAAUCAUUUGUCUUUUAAUUGGAGGCUGGUAUGAAUGGUUGGAUGAAAAAUAUACUUUCUUUAUUUUAUAUAAAAAAUUUAAUUUUUUAGUCAAAAAGCUAAAAUUUUUUUGUAGGACGAGAAGACCCUAUAGAACUUUAUUAUUAUUUUUUAUGAUUUUUUUAGUUUAUUUAAGAUUUAUAUGAUUAUAAUAAUUGCGUUGGGGUGAUGGAAAAAAUUAUAUAACUUUUUCUAUUUAUUACAUUUAUAUAUGUUUAUUUGAUCUCUAAUUUAGGAUAAAAAGAUUAAGUUACCUUAGGGAUAACAGCGUUAUUUUUUUGGAGAGUUCAUAUCGAUGAAAAAGUUUGCGACCUCGAUGUUGGAUUAAAAUAAGUGACAGGAGUAGAAUAUUGUUUUUUAGGUCUGUUCGACCUUUAAAUUUUUACA
This 444-nucleotide ribosomal RNA is filed under the name Capsodes gothicus. Its description in RNAcentral is "partial large subunit ribosomal RNA". The stretch from base 318 to 444 matches the Rfam family "Bacterial large subunit ribosomal RNA", at positions 2473 to 2600 of the family's 2925-position model. The record is from RNAcentral. Lineage: Eukaryota; Metazoa; Arthropoda; Insecta; Hemiptera; Miridae.